This 1158-nucleotide long non-coding RNA is filed under the name Ornithorhynchus anatinus (platypus). RNAcentral describes it as "lncRNA (ENSOANG00000046712.1)". The record is from RNAcentral. Lineage: Eukaryota; Metazoa; Chordata; Mammalia; Monotremata; Ornithorhynchidae.
AUGUCUUUCUGUGUCUCUGUCUCUCUCCAUCUCUCUCUUUUGAUACCUCUUUCUGCAUCUGUCUCUCAAUCGCUCUCCCUCUGGCUCCAUCUCUCUCUCUCUCUUUUCUAUGCCUCUGUUUCUGUAUAUCUGUGUCGUUCUCUCUCUCUCUGCUCUUGCUGUCUCUCUUUCUCUGGACCUCUUUCUCUAUCUCUCUCUCCCUCUGUCCCUCCCUCCCCAUUUCGUCUCUCCUUCUUUCCUCCCUCCCCAUCUCCCUCUCUUCCUGUCUCCCUCCCCCGCCACCUGUCUCUCUCUCCCUCUUACCCUCCCUCACCCAUCUCCCUGUCUCUUUCUCCUUCCUUCUUCCUCUCUCCGUCUCUGUCUGUUUCCCUCCCUCCCUCUUUCCCUCCCCCAUCUGCCCAUCUCUGUCUCCCUCCCUCUCCACCUCUGCCACUCUCUCUCUGCAUCUCCCUUUGUCCCCCCCAUCUCCCUCCCUCCCCAUUUCUGUCUCUCCCUGUGUCGGUCUCCCUCCCCUUUCUGCCUCUAUCUCUCUGUGCAUCUCCUUUCCUCUUUCCCUCCCUCCGCAUCUCUGUCUGUCCCUAUCUCUGCCUCCCUCUCUCGCCACCUCUGUCCCAUCUCUCUGUCCAUCUCCCUCCCUCCCCAUCUCCCUGUCUGUCUCCCUCCCCAUCUCUGUUUCUCCCCCUCUCUCUGUCUCUCUCCCUCCCUCCCCGUCCCCCCCACUCCCCGCUCCUCCCUCCGCCCUCCGUGGCCGGGGGUGGGUUGGGGUGUGGGGUUUUAUGUUCUUUCCCCGUGCGGGCAGGUGCACUUCGACGAGGGGAGGGCGGUGUACGUGAAGCUGGAGCUGGCGGUGGACGGGGGCCCGGCGCUGCGCUGCCUGGAGGAGUUCUCGGCCACGGCGGCGGGGCCGGGCCCGGGGGGCGGGCCGGGGGCCGGGGGGUGGGCCGGGGCCGGAGGCGGCCAGCCGGGGCCCCAGGUCCGCCUCUGCCAGCUGUCCGGCCUCCUCGCCCUGCGGCCCGGGGCCAAGAUCCGAGUCCGCAGCCUCCCGCGGGCCAGGCUCAAGCCCGUGCCCUUCCUCACCUACUUCGGACUCUUCCAAGUUCAAUGACCCCCCUGGCCCCCCGGGGCCCCCUCCUCCUCUCCCUCCCCUCCCGCCCCUGA